Non-coding RNA from Cinara cedri, 281 nucleotides. The record is from the annotation of a GenBank genome assembly. Lineage: Eukaryota; Metazoa; Arthropoda; Insecta; Hemiptera; Aphididae.
GAAUUUAAAAGGAGAAACAGCAAAUAUUUUAACAGACUACAUAAUAAUUGUUUUAAAAAAAUAUAAUUUAUCAAGUAAAAUAAUCGAAUUUUCGGAGGACAACUGCAAUACAAAUUUUGGUGGUGUUUCGAAACAAGUCACAAAUAAUGUUUUUGCAAUUCUUAAUGACAAAUUAAAAAGAAAUAUUCCGGUAUCGGUUGUGCUUUUAGAACAUCCCAAAUUGUUAAACUUGAUUAGUUCUUCAGAAAAAUAUGGAAUAACAAAUAGUGAAGAAAUGUCAG